AGGGGGACAACAGUUGGAAACGACUGCUAAUACCGCAUGACGCAUUUUGAUCGCAUGGUCGAAAUGCCAAAGAUUUAUCGCUGAAAGAUGGCCUCGCGCCUGAUUAGCUAGUUGGUGAGGUAACGGCCCACCAAGGCGACGAUCAGUAGCCGGACUGAGAGGUUGACCGGCCACAUUGGGACUGAGAUACGGCCCAGACUCCUACGGGAGGCAGCAGUGGGGAAUAUUGGGCAAUGGGCGCAAGCCUGACCCAGCAACGCCGCGUGAAGGAAGAAGGCUUUCGGGUUGUAAACUUCUUUUAAGUGGGAAGAGCAGAAGACGGUACCACUUGAAUAAGCCACGGCUAACUACGUGCCAGCAGCCGCGGUAAUACGUAGGUGGCAAGCGUUGUCCGGAUUUACUGGGUGUAAAGGGCGUGCAGCCGGGCAUGCAAGUCAGAUGUGAAAUCUCAGGGCUUAACCCUGAAACUGCAUUUGAAACUGUAUGUCUUGAGUGCCGGAGAGGUAAUCGGAAUUCCUUGUGUAGCGGUGAAAUGCGUAGAUAUAAGGAAGAACACCAGUGGCGAAGGCGGAUUACUGGACGGUAACUGACGGUGAGGCGCGAAAGCGUGGGGAGCGAACAGGAUUAGAUACCCUGGUAGUCCACGCUGUAAACGAUGGAUACUAGGUGUGCGGGG
RNAcentral lists this ribosomal RNA (676 nucleotides) under uncultured bacterium. RNAcentral's name for it is "bacterial SSU rRNA". It matches the Rfam family "Bacterial small subunit ribosomal RNA", at positions 137 to 829 of the family's 1533-position model. The record is from RNAcentral.